RNAcentral lists this ribosomal RNA (483 nucleotides) under Triticum aestivum (bread wheat). RNAcentral's name for it is "partial small subunit ribosomal RNA". The record is from RNAcentral. Lineage: Eukaryota; Viridiplantae; Streptophyta; Magnoliopsida; Poales; Poaceae.
AUGGCCUCCGCAAAGCAGCAGCCGCCGCUAUACAUUGUCGUCGCCGACGACCGCCAGAGGACCAGCUUCCCUUGCACGCGCCCCAUCCCGCAGAGCGCGCUCCAGAUCAUGGGCUGCAAGCCAGCCACACCUUCAAGAAACUAUUGCCAAUGUACUAAGUCUUAUUCAGAGAUUGUCAAUAUUGUUGGGCGUCUCCUGCUCUCCCUCUUUUAUAUUUGGUUGUUUGGUCUCACACUGAAGCUGCUAGAUGUAAUGUGGACUCAGGGCCAGAACAGAGAAGAAGCAGAGCAGGUAGACUCGGGUGUGUGUUCAAGGCAACAAAUGCCCUUUUUUCCACUGAACCACCAACACAUGCUAGCUCUACUCUUUUGCUGUUCACUUACACAAAAAAAGACCACACUGUAUCCAUACCCGUGCACGCACACAGCCCACACUGUACUACACUAUUUGGGUACACACUCAGUACAUAUCUUCAGCUUCUAG